CACUAGCCCCGAUUGCAGUGGAAAUCCUUUUAUGAGUUGCCAAACGAAUAAAAGAUUGCAACGUAAAGCGGGUUCAAGC
RNAcentral lists this small RNA (79 nucleotides) under Flavobacterium caeni. RNAcentral describes it as "Flavo-1 RNA". It matches the Rfam family "Flavo-1 RNA". The record is from Rfam by way of RNAcentral. Lineage: Bacteria; Pseudomonadati; Bacteroidota; Flavobacteriia; Flavobacteriales; Flavobacteriaceae.